RNAcentral lists this ribosomal RNA (243 nucleotides) under uncultured Actinomycetales bacterium. RNAcentral's name for it is "partial 16S ribosomal RNA". It matches the Rfam family "Bacterial small subunit ribosomal RNA", at positions 88 to 334 of the family's 1533-position model. Lineage: Bacteria; Bacillati; Actinomycetota; Actinomycetes; Actinomycetales. The record is from RNAcentral.
UACUCGAGUGGCGAACGGGUGAGUAACACGUGGGUGAUCUGCCCUGCACUUCGGGAUAAGCCUGGGAAACUGGGUCUAAUACCGGAUAGGAGCCAUUUUUAGUGUGAUGGUUGGAAAGUUUUUUCGGUGUAGGAUGAGCUCGCGGCCUAUCAGCUUGUUGGUGGGGUAAUGGCCUACCAAGGCGGCGACGGGUAGCCUGCCUGAGAGGGUGGACGGCCACAUUGGGACUGAGAUACGGCCCAG